AUUGAACGCUGGCGGCAGGCCUAACACAUGCAAGUCGAGCGAGCGGCGGACGGGUGAGUAAUGUAUGGGGACUGCCCGAUAGAGGGGGAUAACUACUGGAAACGGUAGCUAAUACCGCAUACUAUCGGAUAACCCAUAUGGGAUUAGCUAGUGGGUGAGGUAAUGGCUCACCUAGGCGACGAUCCCUAGCUGGUCUGAGAGGAUGAUCAGCCACACUGGGACUGGGAAACGGCCCAGACGCCUACGGGGGCAGCAGUGGGGAAUAUUGCCAAAUGGGCGAAAGCCUGAUGCAGCCAUGCCGGGUGUAUGAAGAAGGCCCUAGGGUUGUAAAGUACUUUCAGUCGGGAGGCGUGACCGACAGAAGAAGCACCGGCUAACUCCGUGCCAGCAGCCGCGUAAUUC
RNAcentral lists this ribosomal RNA (402 nucleotides) under uncultured bacterium. RNAcentral's name for it is "partial 16S ribosomal RNA". It matches the Rfam family "Bacterial small subunit ribosomal RNA", at positions 30 to 526 of the family's 1533-position model. The record is from RNAcentral.